UGAGUAACACGUGGGUGAUCUGCCCUGCACUUUGGGAUAAGCCUGGGAAACUGGGUCUAAUACCGAAUAGGACCGCAUGCUUCAUGGUGUGUGGUGGAAAGCUUUUGCGGUGUGGGAUGGGCCCGCGGCCUAUCAGCUUGUUGGUGAGGUAAUGGCUUACCAAGGCGACGACGGGUAGCCGGCCUGAGAGGGUGACCGGCCACACUGGGACUGAGAUACGGCCCAGACUCCUACGGGAGGCAGCAGUGGGGAAUAUUGCACAAUGGGCGCAAGCCUGAUGCAGCGACGCCGCGUGAGGGAUGACGGCCUUCGGGUUGUAAACCUCUUUCGCCAGGGACGAAGCGCAAGUGACGGUACCUGGAGAAGAAGGACCGGCCAACUACGUGCCAGCAGCCGCGGUAAUACGUAGGGUCCGAGCGUUGUCCGGAAUUACUGGGCGUAAAGAGCUCGUAGGUGGUUUGUCG
This 464-nucleotide ribosomal RNA is filed under the name uncultured Mycobacterium sp. Its description in RNAcentral is "bacterial SSU rRNA". It matches the Rfam family "Bacterial small subunit ribosomal RNA", at positions 107 to 585 of the family's 1533-position model. The record is from RNAcentral. Lineage: Bacteria; Bacillati; Actinomycetota; Actinomycetes; Mycobacteriales; Mycobacteriaceae.